Long non-coding RNA from Peromyscus eremicus (cactus mouse), 1687 nucleotides. RefSeq lists it as uncharacterized. The record is from RefSeq and is a predicted model, not a curated record. NCBI's taxonomy places the organism in Eukaryota, Metazoa, Chordata, Mammalia, Rodentia, Cricetidae. The transcript has 4 exons.
CCAUGUGUAAAGUACUGGAGAGUUUUACGACUCCUCCGCCAUAGGCCAUCCUUCCUGGGGGCGUGACUCUGAGCCCUCCUGAAUCCCUGCGGGUGGACUCGAGUGGGCUGGCAUUGGCACCCUCCCCCCUUGCCUAAUGAUGGUGGGGAGUAAGUCAUCAAAGUUAAACAUGCUUCAAACAUCAUCUACCGAAUUAUGACGUUUGCACCCAGAAACCCUUGACUCGAGUCAGUGCCAACGGCACAAUAGCACGUUCCAGACCUACCUUACACACACGGGUAAAUAGACAGUUACCGUAAUUCACUCCUCUUGCUCUUUGUACUUAUUGAGGCCUAGUUGACAUCCCCAUUCUCAGUAGGCCGGAGGCGAGGAAGGCUCAGAGACGCUGAGAAACUCGCCUGAUGACGCACAGCAGGCGGCGCCCACAGCCAACCCAACCUUCAACCCCAAGUGUGACACCCUGGCAGCCACAAAUGUCUCCGUCGAUUUAGCCCAUCAUUUUGGAAUUACUGGCUAAUGGGAUGGGCCCAGCUCGCACUCCCGCUUCGUGUUUUCAAUUCUCCGUGAGAAACCAACCGUCCAGAACAACAGGGAGAAUCCUCGACUUCGGCCCUCACUGGUGCGAAAAGGUCCAGAAGAGUCCCCCAGCUCCCCAAGACCCAAGUCCAGGGACUGCAAGGAGGUCUCCCUGAGGACUAGUCGGAAAGCUGAGCAUCAUCCGGUGUCCCCUGGUGAGGAAGUCUGGUGAGGUGGGCAGGCAAGCAGCCGGGCCCUGCUCAACUGACACCAAGUCACUUUGUAAGUUUCCCCUGUUUUUAAGGAGGGGAUAUAUUUUUUUUUUCCUCUUCUAUAAGCAAAAUAAAAUGUGAGCUGAAAAAUAUAAAACUCUACAGACAAAAGCCCCACCCUCGCCCGGCCAGGGAGGCCAGGGAGCUAGGCGGGCCCGCCGUGGGGCUCUCAACCUUGGGGCCUAACUGCCAGGUAGCGCUCGCUCGGUAACCUGGCAACGGGACGCCUCCAGGCCGCGCUUCCUCCUUGGCUGGGAUUGGUGGAGGCCCGAGGACUCCAGCCUUCUCUCCACUUGCUUCGAAGAUUUCUUCCUUUCAAAGUCAGUUUCCUCCUGUUGCUCAUCUAAAGAGUGUCUUCUCGGGUUUUGUAUUAAACGCUCAGAUGUGAGCCUCCGCAAUUAUCAACCGCAGGGGCCUAUUGCCCUUCCUACCUGAAAACUCCUACACGCCCUUCAACACCCAUGCACAGAUACAGAUUUAUGGACACACACACACACACGUUCAAGUAUGCCAUUUAUUGGGAGCCAACAAUAUACAAUGUGCUGUUUGUGUCUUUCACAACACAACGCUCUUGAACGGGCUGACAUUGCAGUCCAGAACUGUUUGAUUCUAAACCCCGAGGUUUUACCCACGGAGGUAAGAGACAUAACUUUGUGAGCUUUGGAUUUCCACGUCUUUAAAGCAGGGGCUGCAGGAUUCCUACUGGAGGCUGAGGAUGAAAGAAAUAAGACGCCACCUGGAGAGCCCAGGUGGAGAGGCGCUGUGAGUGACCCUGGGAAGCGGCCACGUUCUCGAUGCUCCGGGCUCACAGCCGAGCAGAUGUUAAUGCUGACUGAUACUUAUUGAUUACCUGCUCUGCGCCAGCCCGCUGCAAUUUAACCCGUAUAUUUGGAUUCGCA